GUGUCAGCAGCCGCGGUAAUACGGAGGGUGCAAGCGUUGUCCGGAUUUAUUGGGUUUAAAGGGUGCGUAGGCGGCUAUUUAAGUCAGUGGUGAAAGACUCCGGCUCAACCGGAGCAGUGCCAUUGAUACUGGAUAGCUUGAGUGUUGGAGGGGUACAUGGAAUUGAUGGUGUAGCGGUGAAAUGCAUAGAUACCAUCAGGAACACCGAUAGCGAAGGCAUUGUACUGGCCAACAACUGACGCUGAGGCACGAAAGCAUGGGGAGCGAACAGGAUUAGAUACCCUGGUAGUCCAUGCCGUAAACGAUGAUUACUCGCUGUUAUGUUGCAUAAUGUAGCGGCCAAGCGAAAGCGUUAAGUAAUCCACCUGGGGAGUACGCCGGCAACGGUGAA
RNAcentral lists this ribosomal RNA (391 nucleotides) under uncultured bacterium. Its description in RNAcentral is "bacterial SSU rRNA". It matches the Rfam family "Bacterial small subunit ribosomal RNA", at positions 505 to 898 of the family's 1533-position model. The record is from RNAcentral.